GCCCGUUCCCCUCCCCACCCAUACCGCCGCUGCUGGAGCCACCCACCGCCCCGCCUCCCUCACACAGACCUCACCGCCGGCCAUGGCCUUCCCCAACAGCCGCCGCUCCGGCCCUCUCCCCCUCCCCUCCCCUUAUCACAAGACAAGAGAAGAGAAGAGGGAGGGAAAUCGAUCGCGACCGAGCAGGUCAAGCGGCGACAAUGGCGCGCCCAGACCCGCCAGCGUCGUCGUCGUCGAGCUGGGCUGGGCGGCGCAGUCCGGUAGAGUAGGAAUGAGGGGGCGGUGGGACGCCUCCCCUGCUCGAGCUGCUCCAAGCGAGCGACCACAGCGCCGGAUCCACCUCCACAACCACCCCCCGGCGGCCACGGAAGGUCAGGGACCUUCGUCCGGUCCGUGUGCUUCUUCUCCAUGGAGCUCCGACACCGCAGCAGCCGCAUCCAUGGAAGGUCCCUCUUCUCCUCCCCGCCUCUCUCUCCCUCCCUCCCUCUGUUUGUUUCGAUCUGGAAACUGUCUGAUUCGAUUUCCUCACAUGCGCACGUGCUUCUUCCGCUCUCCGCUGCUCCAACCCUAGUGCCGACGCCAUGGACCUCGUCAAUCGUGGUUUGCUGCUGCCGCCGACCGUUUCCCUGACAAGUUGACACCAAAGCCACCAUUGUCAAAGCCGCCGUUGGCCGGCGUUGCCACUGGUCGCUGCUCCACGCAUCUUGUCGGUGCUGCGAGGCGAUGCCAUCUACAUAUGUUGCUGCAGCCUGGGAGGUGGCAGGGUCUCCAGGUGAUGCCCUCUUUGCUGCCCAAUCGUUGAAGAUGCCAUAGGACGAGAUCCUCUGCUGCUGCUGUGUCUGGUGGUUGAAGAAGGGGUGUGCUGGGAAGAGGAGGCAGUGUUGAGAGUGCUCGAUCUGGAACAGGACGAGCUUGGGCUGCAUCGGCUCUGGUUCUCAACCUCCAACAUGAGUCCCUUUCUUCCGUGCCUCGAACUCCAUGAGUCAUCAUGGGCACUGCAGAUGCGGAGGAGUUUUUCCGGGGCGAUCUGCUUGUUCCCGGUCGCGCUGGUGUCAACUACCUCGAGCCACUAUGACCAUCCCAACCACGCUCACCCCCCUGAACGAAUUGUUUGUGGAUCUGCAAAGGGGGAUUCAAUUAAUUUUCAGUUGUAGAAAAGGGAGAAGGGGGAUUCAAUUAAUUUUCCUCCUCAAGAUCAAAGAAACAAAAUCUUUGUGGCGAUGAUAGAAGGGUUCACGACUUCACGUUAAUACACAGACUAUUGGUAGCUCAUGGCGAGUGAUGGUGUUAUCCUAAAAUUGGCUAAUUGUGGCUCAUAUUGUUUUCCCUAGGUAGCUCAUGGUGAGUGAUGCGUGAGCCGUCUCGAUCCUUUUGCUAUGUUAUUAUAUUUUAGCCAUGAAGGAUUUACUGCUUGUCAGUUCGUAGUGGUUCCGGCUGUUUGCUGAACUUCUGUUCUUGCUUGUGCUAUUUUUUUUACUGUUUAGAUGGCUCAAUUUACUUCCAAUUUUACUCUUGAGUUUUCCCAUGCAUGCAUACUCUUAUACCCCUCCUACUUGCUUGUUGGUCCUAUGCUCUGCCUUUGUGAGGUGUAAUUGUUCAAUUUUGUUCAUAGUCGAGCAUUGGAUGAUAUUGUAUUUGUCAUGAUGUGCAUGGUUCAUGAACUAUGCUAACCUGCAGCUUCGUUGUACUACUGAUAGUAGGAUAAUGCAAGUUUUGACAAUACAUGCAUGUUUCUGCAUCAUAAUAAUCUUCUUCUUCUAGUCUUCUUCUAGUCUUCUUCUUCUAACUUUCUUCUUUCCCAUUUUACAAAUUUGCUUAAGAUCAUGGAAGCUUGGGUUUAUGGAGUGCUUGUAUUUAGUUUUUGUUUUGACGUUGUGAAACUUGCUACCUAUGGAUGAAAUUGUGUAAUAUUGAUGAAACUAUGUAUAUGUACGGAUGAAACUGGCUACUAUUGGUAACAUGU
Molecule: long non-coding RNA, 1963 nt
Organism: Triticum dicoccoides
Lineage: Eukaryota; Viridiplantae; Streptophyta; Magnoliopsida; Poales; Poaceae
Exons: 5
Source: RefSeq, a predicted model, not a curated record